Molecule: ribosomal RNA, 728 nt
Filed under: uncultured bacterium
Lineage: Bacteria
Description: bacterial SSU rRNA
Rfam family: Bacterial small subunit ribosomal RNA
Source: RNAcentral
UGCAAGUCGAACGAGAAGUACAGUAGCAAUACUGUAUUGUAAAGUGGCGCACGGGUGAGUAACACGUGGGUAAUCCGCCCUCGAGUUUGGGAUAACCCCGCGAAAGCGGGGCUAAUACCGGAUAAGACCACGGAGACCAAAGUCUCUGAGGUAAAAGGUGGCCUCUAUUUAUAAGCUACCACUUGAGGAUGAGCCCGCGGCCCAUUAGCUAGUUGGCAGGGUAACGGCCUACCAAGGCAAUGAUGGGUAGCUGGUCUGAGAGGACGAUCAGCCACACUGGAACUGAGACACGGUCCAGACUCCUACGGGAGGCAGCAGUGGGGAAUAUUGCGCAAUGGGCGAAAGCCUGACGCAGCAACGCCGCGUGGGGGAUGAAGGUUCUCGGAUUGUAAACCCCUUUCGAUCGGAACGAAUCCCCUCCUGGUAAAUAAUCAGGAGGAUCGACGGUACCGAGAGACGAAGCCACGGCUAACUCUGUGCCAGCAGCCGCGGUAAGACAGAGGUGGCUAGCGUUGUUCGGAUUUAUUGGGCGUAAAGCGCACGCAGGCGGUUUGGUAAGUUAGAGGUGAAAGCCCACGGCUUAACCGUGGCAUUGCCUUUGAUACUGCCUUUCUUGAGUAGAGUAGGGGGAAGCGGAAUUCCGAGUGUAGAGGUGAAAUUCGUAGAUAUUCGGAGGAACACCGGUGGCGAAGGCGGCUUCCUGGACUCUAACUGACGCUCAUGUGCGA